UUUAAGUGCAACCAUGUGUUUCCGUGCCCAACUUUAAUCAUCCGUCUUAUUUGAAAUUUUUUAUAAUUAGUAUUUUUAUUGUUAUGAGAUGAUAAAAUAUGAAUAGUACUUUAUGCAUAACUUAUAAUUUUAAUUUUUUAAAAAUAUUUUCAAAUAAGACGAACCAUCAAAGUUGGGCACGGAAAAUUAUGGUUGUACUUAAA
This is a non-coding RNA of Oryza nivara, 203 nucleotides long. Lineage: Eukaryota; Viridiplantae; Streptophyta; Magnoliopsida; Poales; Poaceae. The record is from Rfam.